GUCGAGCGGGGUAGCGGGCUUCGGUCUGUUACCUAGCGGCGAACGGUUGAGUAACACGUAGGCAACCUGCCCCGGAGUGGGGGACAACUCGUGGAAACGCGGGCUAAUACCGCAUGUGGCCGGAGAUCGCAUGAUCUCUGUGCUAAAGGCGAAAGUCGCUCCGGGAGGGGCCUGCGGCCUAUCAGCUUGUUGGUGAGGUAACGGCUCACCAAGGCGACGACGGGUAGCUGGUCUGAGAGGAUGAUCAGCCAGACAGGGACUGAGACACGGCCCUGACUCCUUUGGGGGGCAGCAAUGAGGGAUAUUGCACAAUGGGCGAAAGCCUGAUGCAGCGACGCCGCGUGGGUGAUGAAGUCUUUCGGGAUGUAAAGCCCUUUUCUCGGGGACGAAACGGACGGUACCCGAGGAAUAAGCCCCGGCUAACUACGUGCCAGCAGCCGCGGUAAUACGUAGGGGGCAAGCGUUGUCCGGAUUUACUGGGCGUAAAGCGCGUGUAGGCGGUCUCUUAAGUCCGGGGUGAAAGGCAGGGGCUCAACCCCUGAGCUGCGCCGGAAACUGGGAGACUUGAGUGUCGGAGAGGGAAGUGGAAUUCCUGGUGUAGCGGUGAAAUGCGUAGAGAUCAGGAGGAACACCCGUGGCGAAGGCGGCUUCCUGGCCGAACACUGACGCUGAGACGCGAAAGCGUGGGGAGCGAACGGGAUUAGAUACCCCGGUAGUCCACGCCGUAAACGAUGGUCACUAGGUGUACGCGGUAUCGACCCCGCGUGUGCCGCAGCUAACGCAAUAAGUGACCCGCCUGGGGGAGUACGGCCGCAAGGUUGAAACUCAAAGGAAUUGACGGGGG
This 844-nucleotide ribosomal RNA is filed under the name uncultured bacterium. RNAcentral's name for it is "bacterial SSU rRNA". It matches the Rfam family "Bacterial small subunit ribosomal RNA", at positions 61 to 919 of the family's 1533-position model. The record is from RNAcentral.